This 247-nucleotide long non-coding RNA is filed under the name Oryza brachyantha (malo sina). Its description in RNAcentral is "long non-coding RNA (OBRA_LNC003590)". Lineage: Eukaryota; Viridiplantae; Streptophyta; Magnoliopsida; Poales; Poaceae. The record is from RNAcentral.
GAUUUUAGAGGCCGUGGUUCCCAGCCACGCCCCUUUUUUUCUCGUACGGCUGUUCUCUUCAGGACAUCCUGUUCAGCUUCGUUUCGUUAGUCAAGAGAUUGACUAGAUGGUGUGACGACCAUGGCUUUGAAUUGCUCAGCCGCAACAGAUUGACCUCCCUCUUCCAAAUUUACUAUUAUUAAUUGUGUCAAAAUUGAUCUCAAGAUUGCUAAAACACUUCAAUCCUAAGAAUUUCCAUAUUUCAUUC